Molecule: long non-coding RNA, 317 nt
Organism: Mus musculus (house mouse)
Lineage: Eukaryota; Metazoa; Chordata; Mammalia; Rodentia; Muridae
Product: predicted gene, 34769
Exons: 3
Source: RefSeq, a predicted model, not a curated record
GAGGGAACACCUACUGUGUCAUGAAGAAUGGAUCAAUUCUUAGACAAAUUUGUUUGUUGGAGACAGCCAUGUAUUUCUAAAUGGCUCCAUCUUCUCUCAAGGCGUACACAUCUACACAGUGUUUUGUGCAUCUCCUGAAAAUAAUCAACGGACCACUCCGUCCUAUCCUGGGGUUUUGGCUCUAGUUGAGUUUUCACAUUCGGGACCUGAGAUCACCAAUAGUCAGGCAAGUUGACAGCAUGAAUAAAGUGAUAAGGCAGGAAAAGGUGAAGAGAUUUAAGAAUUGGCAUUAUAUAAUGUGGGGAAGGAGUCCUAAA